GCGCUCUUAGUUCAGUUCGGUAGAACGUGGGUCUCCAAAACCCGAGGUCGUCCUGAUCUUGAGCGCA
RNAcentral lists this transfer RNA (67 nucleotides) under Triticum aestivum (bread wheat). It matches the Rfam family "tRNA". From Rfam's summary of the family: Transfer RNA (tRNA) molecules are approximately 80 nucleotides in length. Their secondary structure includes four short double-helical elements and three loops (D, anti-codon, and T loops). Further hydrogen bonds mediate the characteristic L-shaped molecular structure. tRNAs have two regions of fundamental functional importance: the anti-codon, which is responsible for specific mRNA codon recognition, and the 3' end, to which the tRNAs corresponding amino acid is attached (by aminoacyl-tRNA synthetases). tRNAs cope with the degeneracy of the genetic code in two manners: having more than one tRNA (with a specific anti-codon) for a particular amino acid; and 'wobble' base-pairing, i.e. permitting non-standard base-pairing at the 3rd anti-codon position. The record is from Rfam by way of RNAcentral. RNAcentral also lists the same sequence under 1 other name. Lineage: Eukaryota; Viridiplantae; Streptophyta; Magnoliopsida; Poales; Poaceae.